ACAUGCAAGUCGAACGAUCUUAACCUCGGUUAAGAUAGUGGCGCACGGGUGAGUAACGCGUAAGAAUCAACCCUGAGGAGGGGGAUAACAGUUGGAAACGACUGCUAAUACCCCAUAUGCUGAGGAGUGAAACGACUUCGGUCGGCCUUGGGACGAGCUUGCGUCUGAUUAGCUAGUUGGUGGGGUAAUUGCCCACCAAGGCGACGAUCAGUAACUGGUCUGAGAGGAUGAUCAGUCACACUGGAACUGAGACACGGUCCAGACUCC
RNAcentral lists this ribosomal RNA (267 nucleotides) under unidentified marine bacterioplankton. Its description in RNAcentral is "partial 16S ribosomal RNA". It matches the Rfam family "Bacterial small subunit ribosomal RNA", at positions 53 to 339 of the family's 1533-position model. RNAcentral also lists the same sequence under 1 other name. The record is from RNAcentral.